UGCAUGUCUAAGUACAAGCCAUAUUAUGGUGAAACCGCGAAUGGCUCAUUAAAUCACACCUAAUCUACUGGAAUGUUAGCAGUUACUUGGAUAACUGAGGUAAUUCUUGAGCUAAUACAUGCGAAAAAUCCCGACUCACGAAGGGAUGCUUUUAUUAGAUCAAAACCAAACAGCUUCGGCUGUAACACUGGUGACUCUGAAUAACUUUGGGCUGAUCGCAUUGCCUUGAGCAGGCGACAUUUCCUUCGAAGGUGUGCCCUAUCAACUGUCGACUGUGAUAUAGACGCUCACAGUGGUUUUGACGGGUAACGGGGAAUCAGGGUUCGAUUCCGGAGAGGGAGCCUUAAAAACGGCUACCACAUCCAAGGAAGGCAGCAGGCACGCAAAUUACCCAAUGAACGAAGUUCGAGGUAGUGACGAAAAAUAACAAUACAAGACUCAUCCGAGGCCUUGUAAUUGGAAUGAGUACACUUUAAAACCGUUUCACGAGGAUCUAUUGGAGGGCAAGUCUGGUGCCAGCAGCCGCGGUAAUUCCGGCUCCAAUAGCGUAUAUUAAAGUUGUUGCGGUUAAAAAGCUCGUAGUUGGAUUUCUGCCGAGGACGACCGGUCCGCCCUCUGGGUGAGUAUCUGGCUCGGCCUGGGCAUCUUCUUGGAGAACGUAACUGCACUUGACUGUGUGGUGCGGUAUCCAGGACUUUUACUUUGAGGAAAUUAGAGUGU
This 720-nucleotide ribosomal RNA is filed under the name uncultured eukaryote. Its description in RNAcentral is "bacterial SSU rRNA". It matches the Rfam family "Eukaryotic small subunit ribosomal RNA", at positions 52 to 774 of the family's 1831-position model. The record is from RNAcentral.